AUUGUACUCCCUCCGUCCGGAAAUACUUGUCAUCAAACUAUAUAAAAGAAGAUGUAUGUCAUCAAACUUGAUAAAAGAUACAUCCUUUUUUAUUUAUUUUGAUGACAAGUAUUUUUGGAUGGAGAGAGUACUCU
Non-coding RNA from Triticum aestivum (bread wheat), 134 nucleotides. The record is from Rfam. NCBI's taxonomy places the organism in Eukaryota, Viridiplantae, Streptophyta, Magnoliopsida, Poales, Poaceae.